Molecule: ribosomal RNA, 777 nt
Filed under: Salmonella enterica subsp. enterica serovar Dublin
Lineage: Bacteria; Pseudomonadati; Pseudomonadota; Gammaproteobacteria; Enterobacterales; Enterobacteriaceae
Description: bacterial LSU rRNA
Rfam family: Bacterial large subunit ribosomal RNA
Source: RNAcentral
GGGUUGUGAGGUUAAGCGACUAAGCGUACACGGUGGAUGCCCUGGCAGUCAGAGGCGAUGAAGGGCGUGCUAAUCUGCGAUAAGCGCCGGUAAGGUGAUAUGAACCGUUAUAACCGGCGAUACCCGAAUGGGGAAACCCAGUGUGACUCGUCACACUAUCAUUAACUGAAUCCAUAGGUUAAUGAGGCGAACCGGGGGAACUGAAACAUCUAAGUACCCCGAGGAAAAGAAAUCAACCGAGAUUCCCCCAGUAGCGGCGAGCGAACGGGGAGGAGCCCAGAGCCUGAAUCAGCAUGUGUGUUAGUGGAAGCGUCUGGAAAGGCGCGCGAUACAGGGUGACAGCCCCGUACACAAAAGCGUAUGUGCUGUGAGCUCGAUGAGUAGGGCGGGACACGUGGUAUCCUGUCUGAAUAUGGGGGGACCAUCCUCCAAGGCUAAAUACUCCUGACUGACCGAUAGUGAACCAGUACCGUGAGGGAAAGGCGAAAAGAACCCCGGCGAGGGGAGUGAAAAAGAACCUGAAACCGUGUACGUACAAGCAGUGGGAGCCCCACCACUAAGCCAGUGGUGAACUCCACAUACGCAUCCUUUGCUGAGGAUACGGUUAACGGAGCGAAAGCGACGUUCAACCGCAAAAGAAGCAGAGGGGGCUUAGUGGUGGGGUGACUGCGUACCUUUUGUAUAAUGGGUCAGCGACUUAUAUUCUGUAGCAAGGUUAACCGAAUAGGGGAGCCGGAGGGAAACCGAGUCUUAACCGGGCGUUAAGUUGCAGGGUAU